GUCUCGGUAGUCUAAGGCUCAGGACGCUCGCACGGAAUGCAAGAGAUCCGGGUUCGACUCCCGGCCGAGGCA
RNAcentral lists this transfer RNA (72 nucleotides) under Acromyrmex echinatior (Panamanian leafcutter ant). It matches the Rfam family "tRNA". Rfam says of the family: Transfer RNA (tRNA) molecules are approximately 80 nucleotides in length. Their secondary structure includes four short double-helical elements and three loops (D, anti-codon, and T loops). Lineage: Eukaryota; Metazoa; Arthropoda; Insecta; Hymenoptera; Formicidae. The record is from Rfam by way of RNAcentral.